This 481-nucleotide ribosomal RNA is filed under the name uncultured bacterium. RNAcentral describes it as "partial 16S ribosomal RNA". It matches the Rfam family "Bacterial small subunit ribosomal RNA", at positions 28 to 523 of the family's 1533-position model. The record is from RNAcentral.
GACGAACGCUGGCGGCGUGCUUAACACAUGCAAGUCGAGCGAUGAAGUUUUUUCGGAAAUGGAUUAGCGGCGAACGGGUGAGGAACACGUGAAGAAUCUGCCCUCCACUUUGGGAUAACACAGGGAAACCUGCGCUAAUACCGAAUAUUGAAGCAUAAGUGGCAUCACUGAGUUUUGAAAGAAUUUCGGUGGAGGAUGACUUCGCGGCCUAUCAGCUAGUUGGUGAGGUAAUGGCUCACCAAGGCAACGACGGGUAGCCGGCCUGAGAGGGCGACCGGCCACACUGGGACUGUGACACGGCCCAGACUCCUACGGGAGGCAGCAGUGGGGAAUAUUGGGCAAUGGAGGAAACUCUGACCCAGCGACGCCGCGUGCGGGAUGAAGGCCUUCGGGUUGUAAACCGCUUUCAGUAGGGAAGAAGCGAAAGUGACGGUACCUACAAAAGAAGCACCGGCUAACUAUGUGCCAGCCGCCGCAGUAA